Dendrobium catenatum is the source of this 5681-nucleotide RNA transcript. RefSeq lists it as uncharacterized. The transcript has 8 exons. The record is from RefSeq and is a predicted model, not a curated record. Lineage: Eukaryota; Viridiplantae; Streptophyta; Magnoliopsida; Asparagales; Orchidaceae.
AAACGUUAAAAACGAAACAGAAAAAGCUCGUCUAGGGUUCAUCCCGCUAACCGUCUCUUUCGCAUUCCAAUCCUUCUGAGCACUUAUUCUCAGCAUCCUCAAUUUUGCUCCUAGGGUUAGGGUUAGGGUUUAGCCCCUUACUUGUGGUGCAGUGGUGGAGAGAAGUUAGCUCAAUCGGAUUACUCUUCUUCCUCCGCGGCAACACGCAAGUAAAUCUUGAAUUUGGCGUAAUCUAAUUGGUGCAGACGGAAUAAUUUUGGGUGGAUUUGAUUGAAGAUUAAAAACGAGGAAGGAGUUACUGAAAGAUGUAUGGUGGGCAAGGGAACUAUGCUCCACAGUUCAGGCAGCCUUUGCCGCCGCCGCCACCACCACCGCAACCUCCUCCGAGUUACCAGCAAGCUUAUUCUGGUCCAGCUCUCCCUUUCCUGCAAGCUCCUCCUGGCCCUAUACUUCAACCAGUUCCUCAAGCACCCACGUAUUUUAACCGAGUGGUGGCUUCUCAGGCACAGCCUGCCCAAUUCCCCCACCCUCCUCCUGUGAGUUCCACACAGACUUAUAUGCAGCUGCCACCACCACCGCCGUUACCACCACCACCGCCGCCACCACCACUCCAAACUCAUGCAAAUGGAAGUACACCUGGAGUCCCUCCUUAUCCACUGGCUGGGCUCCCUCUACCCAUGCCAUUACCACCGCCUCCUAGGAUGCUGCAGCCCACAUCAGUGCCUAACUCGCAGCCCCAAGGACAAGUGUUUUACCACACCCUUCAUCCACCCCUUCCCGGGAUUGUUAAUGCUUCUACCCAGCCUCCAUGGCCUACUAAUGCGCCAAACCCACCUCCUCCACAUCCUAAUUUUGAAUUGACAAUCCCCACACCUUUCACAGGGAAGAAUUCUGUAAUAGAUGCCCAUCCACCUGCAAUUCCACCCCCGCCACCACCUCCACCUCCCCCACCACCAUCAUCUCCUCCACCACUUCCACCGUCACCUCCUGCCCCAAUCCCUGCAUUAGAUGUCUUUCAGAAUGAUUCCCUGCAAGUUCUUGCUACAAAUUCUAAGGCUGAUUCAAGUGCACUUGAGCUUGAUAAUGCUCCAGUUCAUCUUGCUGAUGUUAGUGAAGGUUCUAGAGAAGGGAACAAGGGUCCUUUGGUUGAUGGAGAAGCUUCUGAGAAUCUUGCAUUGCCUCCACCUAGGCCAGAUGAAGGUGUCGUUCGAAGCAUCGAGGUCUUGUGUCAGUUCAUUGCGAAGGUUGGGCCUGAUUUUGAGAACAUUGCUCGAUCAAAGGAGGCUGGAAAUCCACAUUUUACCUUCUUGUUCGGUGGUGAACCUGGCAGUGCAGCUGCCAUCGGGCAUGAAUAUUUUCAGUGGGUGAAAAAGAAAUAUCUUGCGGUAAUGGAGUCUCCUAAGGGUCUCAAGCCCAAGGUUUUACCUAUAAGUACUUUGACCGCUGAUGAUUCUUCCCAAUCUGGAAACUUGGAUUGUGUUGAUGGGGUACAUUCACCUGCGACAUCAGACAUGGAGAUGGAGGAUGACAUUACUCUAGCUGACAUAGGUAAAGGUAUCAGCAAUACGAAUGAAGAAUCUGCUGUUUCUACUCAUGAGGGUUCUUAUGCAUCUGAGAAUGUAGAAAAGCAAAUCCAUGCUAUGAUUCCAGUGGCCAGUGGGGCAUCUUCUCCUACUUUAUCUCUUAUGGAUGCUGAAGAUGAGAAAGAGUCCUCAGUUUUUGAAGAUGUUAGUCCAGAGAGGGGCUCGCCUGAUAUUGCUGGCCUAGAUGACAGAACACACGCAUCAAGCAGGUUCCCUACUGAAGAUUCAAUUGAAGGGAAGGUUCUGUUGAAUACUGAAGAUGUUAAAUCUCAGGAGACGUCAGGGAUGUUUCUUAAAUAUGGAAGCCCUUUCCGUUUGAUACAGGAUUAUGCUUCAGAUGAAAGUGAUGAAAAUGUUAGAAGUGAUAAUGAUGAAGACUUCAACCCUAUUAGUCCUUCUCUAGCCCCUACAACAGGCACUUCAAGUUUGCAGCAAGACAGGCUAUCUGAGUUAUGUUCAAAUUUUGGUGGUCAAGGUUCUGCUGCAGUUGCAAUUGAAUCUGUAGACAACACUACUUUGUGUGAGCUUUUGCCUUCAAUACCACAAGGAGCUGGUAGAUCUCCAGACAAAUCAUCACCAUCGAACAGCAUCAGCCACUUUGAUACAAUGAGCAAAACCAUAGAUCCUGAUAAUCAUCCAGUUGAAAAUUUGUCUAACGAUGGAAGAGAAACAUCCAGGCCUUCUCCUGAAUAUGAUGCAUUGGAAGGAAGAAAAAUGGAUGCUGAUCAGGAAACUUUGGAGUUUCAUUCAAAAGAGAGUUUAAUGGAGAAGCAGGCUUCACAUGAUGUAGACGAAUUUGGGCGUUUGAUAAGAAAAGGUGUGAGUGGUAGUGACUCUGAUGAGAGUCAAUAUAGUAAGAAGCACAUUAAAAGAGGUAGGAGUAGGAGUCGGAGCCUCAGCAGGUCACCACAGGGUGGUAGGAGGAAGCAUAGGAGCCGCAGUCUAAGGAGAAGAGAUACGCGAAGUCAUUCGCACAGCUGGUCCCCCAAAAGAGGGAGAAGCAAGUCUCCCCCAUCAUUCAGGACUAAUAUGUCUGCAAGGCGCGGUCGAGACCAGCUUCCUGAAUGUUUGAACUUCAAUCGUGGCAGAUGUUUUCGUGGAGCAUCUUGUCGGUUCCUCCAUCGUGAUUUCAGACUACAGCCGUACAUGCCAAGACGCUAUCAAGAUCCACGAAAGCAUCGAUAUCUUGAUAGUUCCGAUGAUGCAUCCUUGUCGAGUAUUAGCCGUAAUGAUAAUGCUGGUACUCCUGAAUUGCAAGCUGAAAAGAGCAACAAAUUAAUUGAGGCAAGAGAUUAUGAGAAACAUGUUUACAAGGAGCAGUAUGAUACUGGAAUUGGGAAUGCUUCUCUGAAGUUAUCAGAUGGAAAGGAUGAAUUAGCACCAACAUCAGAAACCGAGGAUGCUGCAAACCAGGUAUCUCAGGAAAUGAAUGGCAGCAGGGAGCUGGAACUGCCCGUUGAGCGCAUCCUUCUCUCUCUUGAGGGCGAGAGCACUAAGCUGCAAAUGGAAUCCUCUGAAUCCAAACAAGUUGACCAUGCUAUUUUUGAACAGCCUAGCUCAGGUGAAGCUGUUUCGUUUCAACCUUCUCAGCUCACCACUCAAGUCAAUAUCUCAGAAGCUGAAAAGUCUAGUGAGCAUGCUCAUGCAUUGGCAUCUUCUGCGUCGCAUCCCUUACCUGUUCAAACAAGUCACUCUGCAAAUGAUUCUAUUCAGCCCUUAACAUGUCAGAUGAAUGUGGGUGAAAAUAUUGCAGCGGAGGCAACAACAGGCCAAAAUAAUGCCACUCCUACACACUCGCAAAAUGUUGCCCCAACAAAACCACUGGUUCAACCUCUCCAUGAAGAAUCUUCACCGCACUUUUUGACAUCUGGAGCAAACUUUCAGCCCCCUCAACCAUUUCCUCCUGUACCACAGGGACAGCGCCCAAUGCACAUUCUUAAUGAUAAUUUGAAUGGUCCAUUUUCUUCACAGCAUUUUAAAGAAAAUGUCAUGCCGCCAAUUAGCUACCAAUCCCAGCUACCACAAUCUCAUAUGCUUUAUCCCCCGCCACCUCCUUUGCCUAGCAAUUUUCUUCCUAAUAAUGCACUUCAACCAAACCUUACAUGGUCUGAUCUAAACCCCACAACACCUCAAAAUAUGUUUACAUUGCUGAGCAGGCCACCUUUUCCUUCUUCUGAACCCACCCAUAUGCACCAGCCUAAUGCAAUGCCACCGAGAAAUUCUUUCAUGCCUUCUGUCAGGCCCUAUCCAUCUGGAGAGAUUCCUGGUUCACGACCAUCCGACUUUUAUCCCCCGUCUUUCUAUUCAAUGUCAUCCGGCCAUCCUCCACGACCUCAACCUUUUCCAAAUGAACAAGGUAUGAUUCAAGUACAGAACCAGGGGCUCAACCCCUCUAGUUCUUUGCCUUUGCUAAGGCCCUUCCAAGGAGAAGAAAUUUCUAUGCCACGCAUAAGAGAUGUUCAUCAUUCUCAUCAACCAUCACUUUAUAACCAAGAAACCCACCCUGCAGCUGCUAAUUUACCUGCAAGGUUUGGCACAGCAGGCUCUACGAAUCCUUCUAUACAGAGAUACCCGGAUAACUACUUCCAACCACAGCCCUCUGAUGCUGGUUUACCUAUAUUUCCUACCAGGGAACGUUUCAACCCAUAUGCUUCCAUCUUUGAACAUCCACUUAGAAGCCCUGGCAUUCCUGGUCCAGAGAUCAGAAGAUUUGAUUCUGCACUCAGUGCGGAUAAUGUUCCCAUUGUCGGUAUUGGCUUUGGGAUGAGACCAUCCCCCAGCAGUACAAGGAGAUUGGCUGAGCAGUUUCCGCCAAAAAUUGGGAGUUACCCACAUGAAUCUUUUGCAGAAGUGACACCGGAUUCGAAAACGCAGUUGGUUCGGGAACCAGUGGCUGGUGCUCCAUAUGAUCCUCUCUUUGAUAGCAUUGAACAAUCUUCCGACACAUCGAAGAUGCGUGUUGAGGAACAGAAUUCAGGGAUCAAUGACACAGGCAGUGCAUCAAAAUUGAACCUGCACAAGCCUGCCAAGUUUGGGAGUAAGAAGCGUAGAAGGGGAUCAGUUACUGAGCUGAAGGCUGAAGUUGAUGAAUUGGGUGAGGUAGCAACAGAUGCAGAUGCUGGUGGCGUUGAGAAUGAGAGCCCUCAGCUUCUCGAUAAAGAUUGGAGUCCAGGAAUUCAUUUUGAUGAGGGUGAAACAAAUGUGGGUGAGAUUGAGAUCAAUCAGAUCCGGUCACCUAGUAAAAGUAAAAAGAAUAGAGAUUCGAGGUCAAUGAGGCUUUUCAAGAUUGCCCUUGCAGAUUUUGCGAAGGAAGUGCUCAAGCCCUCUUGGCGUCAGGGGAAUCUAAGCAAAGAGGCAUUUAAGACCAUCGUGAAGAAAACUGUUGAUAAGGUGGCUGGAGCAGUACCAAGUCAUCAUAUACCCAAGUCACAAGUAAAGAUCAAUCAGUAUGUGGAUUCAUCUCAACGCAAAUUGACUAAGCUGGUGAUGGGCUAUGUUGACAAAUAUGUCAAGAUGUGAACUAAGGCAGUUAAUGUUACUGCUCAACCAAUCUAGAUUCCUCACUGAUGAUCCUUAUCUGCCAUUCAUUUAGAUCUGCUGCAGCAUGAAAUCUGAUUUUGAGAAAGGUAGCAAAACCUUGCCAUGAAGUUUGUUCUCAUUAACUGAAUCUAUUUCGCAGCAGCUUUUCCACAUUGGGUGUUUUAGCUGACCAGAUUUGUAUAUGGCAGUACGAAAUAACAAUCUGCAUGUGAACUUUAGAAAGGAUAAGAGUUUGAAACUUUUUGUAGCUGCAACUGUUCUUGAUUGAUUCAUGGUGUUGUGAUUAGGAGCUGCUGAGCUGUUGUCAACAAUGUAAAGAUCUUCAGAAAUGGUAAAAGAAAGAUCUGUUCCUGGAUCCAUCCUUAAAACUUCAGUGGAUAGGUGAUUCUAUGUACACUUGAACUUUCUGGAACUUUCUAGAAUCUAUGCUUGUUUUUAGUUUUAGUUAGGCUCAUAGGGUGUGAUCUGUGAUGUGUUAAACCAGAUUUUUUUCAUCUAUAAAUGUUUGCAUUGAAUGAGCUCUUCAAGUUCAGGUGCAGCAUGCCUAUUUUUAUUUUA